Molecule: transfer RNA, 83 nt
Filed under: Felis catus (domestic cat)
Lineage: Eukaryota; Metazoa; Chordata; Mammalia; Carnivora; Felidae
Rfam family: tRNA
About the family: Transfer RNA (tRNA) molecules are approximately 80 nucleotides in length. Their secondary structure includes four short double-helical elements and three loops (D, anti-codon, and T loops).
Source: Rfam by way of RNAcentral
GCCUGGAUGGCUCAGUUGGUUAAGCAUCUGACUUCGGCUCAGGUUGUGAUCUCAGGUUGUGAGUUGGAGCCCCACACCGGGCU